GAACCCAGUGCCUCAUGCAUGCUAGGCAAGCGCUCUACCACUGAGCCACACCCCAGCCCCAGAUACAAAUAUAUUUUAUAUGAAAACUUUAGAUUGCAUCAGAAUCUCUUGCAAAGCCAGAUUUCAGAGAUGGAGACAGAGCUGCCCCACUAGAUAAGUGCCUGCUGGGAGCAGAGAUGGGGCUGCGCACCUGAGUCUGCUCUCUGCAAGGCCCGGAGGGGACUCACCAAGGAAAAGAUACUGAACUUUUUGAGGAAAGGUGAAUUUUCGAGCUUUCUUUGUUAAUCAUGAAAAAACUUCUGCAUCGCAAGAGAAAGACAACAGUAAGCAAAAUGGUCAAAGGAAAUGAUGCACCCGAAAAUAAUUCCCAGAAAAUAGAAGUACCUCUGCAAAUUGUUCCAGAAAACAAAAUUUGAGACGCGGGGAGGAAGUCCUUUAAAAAACUUGAUUUGAGAGCUGGGGUUGUGGCUCAGUGGUAGAGUGCUCGCCUAGCACAUGCAAGGCCCUGGUUUUGAUCCUCAGACCACCUAAAAAUACAAUAAAUGUAUUGUGUAACUACAACUAAAAAAUUAUAUAUAUUUAAGUUGUAGUUGGACACAAUAUUUUAUUUAUUUAUUUUUAUGUGGUGCUGAGAAUGGAACCCAGGGCCUCCUAUGCGCUAGGCGAGCGCUCUACCACUGAGCCACAAUCUAGCCCCCCCCCCCAAAAAAAAAUUUGAUUUGAUUGCAGAACAUAUAAAAAUGUAUGAAGACUCAUUAUAUUUUACUUAUAAGACAGAAACAAUAUAUUGUGUGAUUCUAUUGGCCUAGAAAUAGAAGUAGAUUAGUAGCUACUGGGGGCUGAGAGAUAGGGGUAAGAGAAACAAGUGCUAAUGAGAUGAGAUUUUUUUUAAAAAGUUUUUUUAGUUAUUGACAGACCUUUAUCUUAUUUGUUUAUACACAAUGCUGAGAAUCGAACCCAGUACCUCACACGUGCCAGGAAAGUGCGCUACUGCUGAGCCCCAGCCCCAGCCUCGAGAUGAGAUUUCUUUGAGGGCUGAGAAAAAUGCUCAGGAAUCAGAUCGUGGUGAUGGUUGUGAGUGCUCUAAAAGCUGAGUUGUGGACCUUAAAAUGCUACGUAACAAAACUGGCUGCAGUGGUACACACGUGUAAUCCCAGCGACUCCGGAGGCUGAAGCUGGAGGAUCACACACUCAAGGCCAGCCUUAGCAACUUACUGAAUCCUGUCUCAAAACAAAACAAAACAAAAAGCAGGACAUGAUGUAGCUCAGUGGUAGAAUAUUCCUGGGUUUAUUCACUAGGACUGAUGGGAGGUAGCCGUGAAAAAACCUAAAAGGACCAAUAAUUGUAGGAAAAAAAAUUAAGUUAUCAAAGACUUUGUCC
RNAcentral lists this long non-coding RNA (1381 nucleotides) under Marmota monax (woodchuck). The record is from RNAcentral. Lineage: Eukaryota; Metazoa; Chordata; Mammalia; Rodentia; Sciuridae.